CAUCGUUAGUACAUCGUCUAUGCGUGUGCUAAUCAGCACGUUCAUAGUUCGUCACGCAUUCAUUCUUAUUGAUGAAGCGAGCAUCUGCUGACAAAGUGACACAAAGUGAAAGAUAGCGAUGGUUUCUUUUUCGUCCAGGAGCUAAGUUUCGUCGCAGACAUGCCCGCAAACAUGCUGACUCUGAGAGAUAUGGUAACUGAUGACGAGCUGACUGGCUUCACCGAGGAGGAUAAACUGCAGGAGGUGCAGAAAUACGUGGCCUCCUUUUCGUUUACGUUCGCCUUCGUAAAACUCUGGAAAAGCGCCCGCACCUGUCAGAGGCAUGCGAAAUAAUUGUGUUUAUGAAGAUUCACGUGAGGCUGAAGAGUUCAUUGCAGCAGCAGCUUCUCGUGUCUAGAAAGGCAUUCAUACCACCAUGGAGAAUACGGACGA
Molecule: long non-coding RNA, 432 nt
Organism: Priapulus caudatus
Lineage: Eukaryota; Metazoa; Priapulida; Priapulimorpha; Priapulimorphida; Priapulidae
Exons: 2
Source: RefSeq, a predicted model, not a curated record